UGAAUAUGAUAACGCCUAUCACCCAGUUUCUUAGAGUGCAGACAUUAUUUAUUACAUAAUUAGUAGAUAUUUUCAUUAUGAAAUUAAUUUCAUUAAUUAAAUUCAAUUUCAUCAAGUACUUUCGUAACCUUGUGAUGACUUUUACAUGUUUUACCCACCGACCAAAUAAAACAAGUAAUUAUCCUAAAUCUUAGUAAAAAUCACUUUUUAACAAUAACAAACUACAUAACUGUAUAGGCACACUUAUCAAUGUCAUGCACUCUUAAUAAUCUGGUAAAGUCAUAUAGGUCAUGGUUUCUCGGUAAUAAAUUUGCCCUUCAAAAAAUCCUUUAUUAAUUCAAAACCGGGCAAUGUGUAUAUAUUACUCCUCCUCCGCGGAGUUAUAUUUUCCAUCGCAUUGUAUUAAUAUUGACACCAAACGGUAACCAAUAUUUUUUUCAAUGUGACAUUAAUAUUUUACUGGUUGGUAAUAAUGUGUUGCUGGGUUACUAUCAGACUGUAUAACUUAUCAUUGCCAUAACGGUAGAGUUAUAUCUUUUAUAUAUAAUUGUCCCACAAUGUAAUGUUUUAUUGUGAGAUUAUUUGCAGUGCAUUUGCUUGCUCACAUAAAUAGUUGCAUAAUAUAAUGCUGAUAUACACAUACCGGUACAAACUAAUAUCAUUGGUAUGUAUAAGUCGACGUAUUUUCCCGACGGAUAGAUUAUUCUUCUUCUUUAAUACUUGUCUGGAAAUCUUGCCCAAAACUGGUCCAAUGUCCAAGUUUACUGGAGAUUGUAGUGGGUGAAAUGCAGCCGUGCAUAUCAUUUUGGUCAAAUGUGUGCAUGUUUUAUGUUAUCUUAUAAAAUAACCUGAUUCUACAAAAUUAAGUUUCCUUCAUACUCCUCGAGACAUUGUAUCAUUUUUUUAUCAUUAUUAUAUUGCUAAGGAUCCCAAAUUGGGUAUCGUUUAGAAACAUGUAUGUGCAUUCAUAUUGCAAUGCUACCUAAAUAGCUUAAAUAAUUUAAGUUGGACUUUCCAUGUUAAAUAUAGCAGUAAUGAUGCAUAUCUGUAUGUCUGUAUGCAUGCUAAAUGUAUGUCAACUAACAGUAACUUGCAUCCAAUAAUCUCCAUUAAAAGUGAAAUGAAUGAAUGCAAGUUAUGCAUGUGUAUAGAACGAAUGAUAGACUGGACAUCACAAGUCACCUGCUCGCCUCUCGCUCGUAUGCAAAUGCAUGCAUGUAAAUUAUGUACCUGGAAUAGUAAAAUUCCAGGCAAGUGAAUGUAAAACUCCUUGUUUUCCAUGCACUUCUUGUACGUAAUAUGUAAUGUGUAAUGUAAUGUAAUGUGUGUAGGUAAGUUGUGUGUAUUUAACGUAAUGUAUGUAGAUCUGUAUUUAUUUAUAGAAAACCCAUUGUUCAGAACACAAUGAGUUUUACUUAUGAGAAAAUAACAUGAUGCAAAUUAUGAAAAGGCGGAUUCCCUGCGUCCGACCGAGGAUAUAAGGGCAGCCUCGACUCCAACCGCCACCACAACUGUGUCUAUAAUUAUUACAUGCAAGCUGUUUUGCACCAGCUUGCAUUACAAAGUCUCAAAUUGCCUCAAGUAAUAGACUGAGACAAAAAUAAAUCAAAUAUUUGGUCAAGUUACCCCUAACAUUUAAAUACAUACUACACAUUAAAUAAUGAGUGUAUAUCAACUCUACAAUAGUGUAAAUAAAUAAGUAUUUUUAGAUUGUUUUUACAUUAACCUUGUGUCCGAAUCUACUGAUUUCCCACAAAACUAAUCAUCACAUACAUAUAAAAAUAAUACACACUAAAAAAUAAACCAACCAAACCAUCUCACUAUUCGUCAUGAACAUAAACAGAUUCGAUGGGACAGACUAAUACUUAGUUUUAGCCGUGCGGGGUUACAAUGGUAUGGAGUGGUGGGUGAGUUAUGCUUCUGAUAAUAAAGAAGUGUGGAAAUGCAUCGGUUUGGCGAGGGCGUUGAAAAGGACGGUGACCAGGAGACCCUUCAUGGUUAUCAUUAAUGACCACGUCGGGCGAGAGAUGAGGUGAGAUUAUUGUAGCUUUUGGUGAAUAAUUGAUGCCAUGCACAAACUGGCAUCAACAAAUCUCAUCCAUAACUGCAUUUAUGUUUUCUGAAGUUACUCUCUUCAGAGAGAGGUGGACAAGGUGUGUGAUUUAAAAUCGCACGAGAAUUUGUAAUUCCGAUCGUUUGCAAGUUCAGGGGAUCGUAUCACCAGUCCGGAGUUUCCACUUUGCAAUCCGUACUUUUCAAUUAUUGCAAACUGUGGAGUGCAAAUCUGGAGCGUUUCACCGUGGCGAUGCAUUUUUGCAAUCUUCACUUCGCAAAUAACCUCAAAUUGCAAAGUAAUUUGCAAACACUCCACAAUCACAAAUUUGAGUCGUAAUUUUUUUCUCGCAUCUAUGUACAUAAGUGGUUCUAUCGCAAAAGAAUGCAAUAAAUUACAUACUUUGUCGAA
Long non-coding RNA from Folsomia candida, 2464 nucleotides. RefSeq lists it as uncharacterized. The transcript has 3 exons. The record is from RefSeq and is a predicted model, not a curated record. NCBI's taxonomy places the organism in Eukaryota, Metazoa, Arthropoda, Collembola, Entomobryomorpha, Isotomidae.